UCCUGGGUCGUCUAAUGGUAGGACAGAGGACUUUGAAUCCUCUAAUCCUGGUUCGAAUCCAGGCCCGGGAGCCA
This 74-nucleotide transfer RNA is filed under the name Chloroflexota bacterium. RNAcentral describes it as "tRNA-Gln". It matches the Rfam family "tRNA". Rfam says of the family: Transfer RNA (tRNA) molecules are approximately 80 nucleotides in length. Their secondary structure includes four short double-helical elements and three loops (D, anti-codon, and T loops). The record is from RNAcentral. Lineage: Bacteria; Bacillati; Chloroflexota. RNAcentral also lists the same sequence under 1 other name.